UCCUCCUUCCCUGCCUGGGAUCACAUGGUGGGAAGCGGAAAACAAAGGCCCAGCCUCCUUCCUUCCCCCUCCGGCUGAAUGCCUCCUCCUUGAUCUGCAGAAGGAUCUCUGGAAGGGAAAAGAAAUAUAAAAGAGGGUUUGGGGAAGAAAAGGAGGCACCUUCCUCCCAAAGCUCCCCUUGGGAAUCUGCAAUGGCGCUGGUGGAAGCAGAAAAAGAAGAAGAAGAAGCAGAAGAGGCUCAGGGGUGAGAGGCAGCAAAGAAGAAGACAUCGGUGGGAAAAGGGGCCGAUUGAACCCAGAAAGGAAAACUAAACAUCCCAGCCCUUCUUUGCCUGGAUCUCUGAUAGUCUUGCUAUGAUGGAACAAGAAAAGAGGCAACAAACUGUAGAGCUCCAGGGAUCGAAGUAUGUUGAGACUUCCCUGGGUGACCACUUAGGAGAGCUCACCCACAUGAAGAUGAAGGAGGAACAAGUUUCUGAGGAAACCCAAACCUUCCCAAGUGCUCAUUCAGGUUAUCUUGGUAUGCCAAUAAAGAUGGAAGAAGAAGAAUUAGGCAUCCCCACUGGCCAUGAAGGCUUUCCGCAGAAUGAAGCUGCCGAGGAUUCCUUUCCAGGUUUCCCCAUUGUGACCAUAAAGAUGGAAGAAGAAGAAGAGUCACAGGCAUCAGAUAAUCAGGAUUGUGAACAAGGAUUUUCUGGUGUAAUAAUAAAGAUGGAACCUGAAGAAGAGCCUUGGAUUUCAGAUCUCCAGCAAAGAAGUACAAUGUUCUCAAGAGUCCAGCCAGUGGUCCCAAAGCGCAAGCGUAGUGAUCGUGGCAAUUCGGAUAUGCCUAAGAGAAGCCGUAAAGUGCUUCCUUUAAGUGAAAAGAUGAAAGUUCUCGACUUAAUAAGAAAAGAGAAAAAAUCCUAUUCUGAGGUUGCUAAGAUCUACGGUAAGAAUGAAUCUUCUAUCCGUGAAAUUGUGAAGAAGGAAAAAGAAAUUCGUGCUUGUUUUGCUUUCGUGCCUCACACUGCAAAAGUUCUAGGCAGAGUGCGUGAUAAAUGCUUAGUUAAGAUGGAAAAGGCAUUAAAUUUGUGGUUGGAAGACAUGAACAGAAAAAGUAUUCCAACUGACAGCAACAUGUUGCGCCAGAAAGCAUUGAGCCUAUAUGAAGACUUCAGCAAGGGAUCCCCUGAAAUGCGUGACUCUAAGCCAUUUAUUGCAAGUAAGGGAUGGUUACACAGAUUCAGGAAUAGGUUUGGACUGAGAACUAUAAAAUUUACUGGAGAGGCUGUAUCUCCCACUGAAGAUGCUGCCGUCACAUUUCCGGUAGACUUGAAAAAUUUGAUUAUGGAGAAAGGAUACCAUCCGAAGCAAGUCUUCAAUUGUGAUGAAACCGGGCUCUUCUGGAAGAAGAUGCCCAUUAGAACCUACAUUCAUAAAAAUGCUAAGGAGUCACCAGGGCAUAAAGCAUGGAAGGACAGAUUAACUCUAGUACUAUGUGGCAACACUGCAGGGCAUAUUAUAAAGCCAGGCGUGGUGUACAGAUUGAAGAACCCACGUGCUCUCAAAAACAAACAUCAUCUGCCUGUGUUCUGGCAACAUCAUAAGAAAGCAUGGAUGACAGCCAUCUUGUUUAUGGACUGGUUCCACCAAUGUUUCAUUCCACAAGUGAAAAAAUACUUGGAAGAGGAAGGGUUGGAAUUUAAAGUCCUAUUGAUAAUAGACAGUGCACCUGGCCAUCCUGAAUCUGUUUGCUAUGAAAAUGAAAAUGUUGAGGUUGUAUUUUUACCUCCAGAUACAACCUCACUGCUUCAGCCCCUUGACCAAGGUGUCAUUUGGUUUGUCAAGGCCACAUACACCCGCCUGGUAUUUGAUCACAUUAUAUCAGCAAUUGAUGCAGACCCCAGUGUGGACAUAAUGCAGUGCUGGAAAUCAUUCACAAUUGCUGAUGCAAUAACAUUAAUCAAAGCUGCAGUGGAUGAAUUAAAACCAGAAACUGUAAAUGCCUGCUGGAAGAACUUAUGGCAUGAAGUCGUGAAUGAUUUUAAAGGCUUCCCAGGGAUCGAUGAAGAAGUUAAGAAAAUCAUUCACGCAGCAAGACAGAUUGGUGGAGAAGGAUUCACUGACAUGAUUGAUGAAGACGUGAAAGAACAUAUCGAAAGCCAUCGAGAAAUGUUAACAAAUGCGGAGUUGGAAGAACUUUUUGAGACUUCUAUGGAGGAAGAGGAAGGAGAAGAAUCCAAAUCAGAACCAGCAAUGUGGACAUUACCAAAAUUUGCUGAAGUUUUUCAAAUUGCACAGACUUUAAAGGACAAAAUUAUGGAAUAUGACCCUUGGAUGGAACGCAGCAUUAAAGUCACCCGUAUGAUCACCGAAGGACUGCAACCUCUUCAGGAACACUUUGAUGAAUUAAAAAGAAAGAGACAACUUCCGAAUGCAAUGUUAUUUCAAAAGGUUUCGACAAAACACCCUUCGACUACUGAUGAUCCCCAACCAUCAGCAUCGUCUGCUCCUGACAUCCAACCAUCAGCAUCGUCAUGGCUCAAUGAUCCAGGAUCACCUGAAGCUGAUGAUUCUCCUUCUGACUUGUUGUCAGAAGGUCAAUAGUAGCCUAACAUUACAUCACAGUGCCUACGUCAUUCAACUCACUUCAUCCUCAUCACGUAGGCAUUGUAUCAUUAUCACAUCAUCACAAGAAGAAGAAGGGCAAUGGUUAUGUGAAAGAAGAAGAUUUUCUACCAAGAAGCAUUAAGCACAUGGCUAUCAAUACAGCAAUGACUCAAGGGAGCAUUGUCCGUUGUUUGGGAAGAGCCAAUCAGUAUAGGGCAGAAAGACAACAAAGAAGCC
Sceloporus undulatus (fence lizard) is the source of this 2829-nucleotide RNA transcript. It is a transcript of the gene named zinc finger protein 883-like, with no coding region annotated. NCBI's taxonomy places the organism in Eukaryota, Metazoa, Chordata, Lepidosauria, Squamata, Phrynosomatidae. The record is from RefSeq and is a predicted model, not a curated record. The transcript has 8 exons.